AAUUAUACCGCGAAACUGCGAAUGGCUCAUUAUAUAAGUUAUCGUUUAUUUGAUAAUACUUUACUACUUGGAUAACCGUGGUAAUUCUAGAGCUAAUACAUGCUAAAAAUCCCGACUUCGGAAGGGUUGUAUUUAUUAGAUUAAAAACCAAUGCCCCUCGGGGCUCUCUGGUGAAUCAUGAUAACUAGUCGAAUCGACAGGCCUUGUGCCGGCGAUGGCUCAUUCAAAUUUCUUCCCUAUCAACUUUCGAUGUUUGGGUAUUGGCCAAACAUGGUGGCAACGGGUAACGGAGGGUUAGGGCUCGACCCCGGAGAAGGAGCCUGAGAAACGGCUACUACAUCCAAGGAAGGCAGCAGGCGCGCAAAUUACCCAAUCCCGACACGGGGAGGUAGUGACAAUAAAUACUGAUACAGGGCUCUUUCGGGUCUUGUAAUCGGAAUGAGUACAAUUUAAAUCCCUUAACGAGGAACAAUUGGAGGGCAAGUCUGGUGCCAGCAGCCGCGGUAAUUCCAGCUCCAAUAGCGUAUAUUAAAGUUGUUGUGGUUAAAAAGCUCGUAGUUGAACCUUGGGCCUGGCUGGCCGGUCCGCCUCACCGCGUGCACUGGUCCGGCCGGGCCUUUCCCUCUGCGGAACCCCAUGCCCUUCACUGGGUGUGGCGGGGAAACAGGACUUUUACUUUGAAAAAAUUAGAGUGCUCAAGGCAGGCCUAUGCUCGAAUACAUUAGCAUGGAAUAAUAGAAUAGGACGUGUGGUC
This 754-nucleotide ribosomal RNA is filed under the name Trichoderma citrinum. Its description in RNAcentral is "SSU rRNA". It matches the Rfam family "Eukaryotic small subunit ribosomal RNA", at positions 72 to 836 of the family's 1831-position model. Lineage: Eukaryota; Fungi; Ascomycota; Sordariomycetes; Hypocreales; Hypocreaceae. The record is from RNAcentral.